Molecule: long non-coding RNA, 923 nt
Organism: Artibeus jamaicensis (Jamaican fruit-eating bat)
Lineage: Eukaryota; Metazoa; Chordata; Mammalia; Chiroptera; Phyllostomidae
Exons: 3
Source: RefSeq, a predicted model, not a curated record
GCUUUUGACAUUCACUCACCAAACCCUUUCAUUCUCAGAAAGAUAAUUUAUUCUGGGGGGUGUUUCAUAGUUUUUCUUAUUUCUUGAGUCUCUGAGGAAAGAGCUACCCUGAAUUAACAUAAAUCAUGACAAUACCUGAUUGGAAUCAGACUGACAAUUUAACGAUUUGAGGAUAAACUCAACAGUGACACCACAGAAAAUCACAGAUUUUUUAAUGCUUUAGCACAAAUGAAAAGAACAGCUAGCAGAGACCCGUGGUGCUAGCUAGCCCUGUGUCUGGAUGUCCUGUGGAGGUUGGGUAAUUUGGGUUACCCUUUCAGUUAUCUCCCCACUGAAGCAAUAUCUUAUUGAUUCAUUAGUGAGUGAUGGACGAUUUUACAGAGCUUCGAGGUGUCUGGAGUAUCAUUUCAGUCAUAAGAUAAUCUAAUUGAUAUAUUCUCGAGUGCUUCUGGUGAAGAAAGCUCCAUGGACAGCAGCACCGCUGAGAAAUGACUGCCCGACAGUCUCGGUUUCCGACAAGCCUGCGUUGCUGUCUCUGGGAAGGAAUGCGGAGGCGGAAGGUAGGAGAGCAGCAAGAUCUUUACUUCGGGCUUUAACAGGGGACCACCAUGUCUUAAAAUAAUUGGACUCCAAAACUUGAGUGCAAAAAAGUAAAGGUUGCAAAGCCAGGAGGUAUCAUGCACAAAAGCACCACCUUGUGACCAGAAUGAGUAACUGCAUGCAUCCCUAAGACUGACCAUCCAAAAGAACAGAAAAGCAGAGCCUGUUAAAACUCCAGAUACAAGGACUGGCUCCCGUGUACUCACUCUUCUAUCAGCCUCAGUGUCACUCGAAAAUGGAAAUAAAGAACAAUUUGUUGGAUAUAUUUGAGUUUUGAAAGACAACAGUCUACCAAUCAAUAGAGGGCCAUAUGUGUUGGUAAG